CCUACGGGAGGCAGCAGUGGGGAAUAUUGGGCAAUGGGCGCAAGCCUGACCCAGCAACGCCGCGUGAAGGAAGAAGGCUUUCGGGUUGUAAACUUCUUUUCUGAGGGACGAAGAAAGUGACGGUACCUCCGGAAUAAGCCACGGCUAACUACGUGCCCGCCGCCGCGGUAAUACGUAGGUGGCAAGCGUUAUCCGGCUUUAUUGGGUGUAAAGGGCGUGUAGGCGGGAAAGCAAGUCAGAUGUGAAAACUCAGGGCUUAACCCUGAGCCUGCAUUUGAAACUGUUUUUCUUGAGUGCUGGAGAGGCAAACGGAAUUCCAUGUGGAGCGGUGAAAGGCGUAGAUAUACGGAGGAACACCAGUGGCGAAGGCGGAUUGCUGGACAGUAACUGACGCUGAGGCGCGAAAGCGUGGGGAGCAAACAGGAUUAGAUACCCGUGUAGUC
RNAcentral lists this ribosomal RNA (443 nucleotides) under uncultured bacterium. RNAcentral's name for it is "partial 16S ribosomal RNA". It matches the Rfam family "Bacterial small subunit ribosomal RNA", at positions 338 to 795 of the family's 1533-position model. The record is from RNAcentral.